This is a non-coding RNA of Xyrichtys novacula (pearly razorfish), 498 nucleotides long. The record is from the annotation of a GenBank genome assembly. NCBI's taxonomy places the organism in Eukaryota, Metazoa, Chordata, Actinopteri, Labriformes, Labridae.
CUGAGUGUUCCCACCAACUCUCAGGUAAGGAGGAGCUGAAGCAGAAUACAGGGGAGCUGAGCUGCCACACUCUGAGCACACUGAGGUGAGGAGCCUGAUUUGUUUUUUCCCUUCCUUAUCUUCAACCCCACUGUGUUUUCCCCGGCUUGUUUUCCAUCUCUGGGUUUUGUUAUUUCAGUUUGAGCUGGAGGUUACUGCUGGUCUAGUUUCCAGUCUUUUGUUUUUGCAGGUUAGGUUUGACUUCCCCUUCUUAUGCUCCAGUCGUUUUUGGUUCUCUUGUUUUUGUUUUCUUGUUUGGGGGUCUCAAGCUCAGGGUGGCGUCUCUUUCUCCUCUUUCUCGCUUUAGUUUCUGAUCAUUAGGAGGUUGUAACACCAUCCAAAGAGGAAACAACAAGCAAGAGAUGCUGGUGGGAAACUUGGAAACUGUCCUAUGGUCUUAUGGACGCUGCAUCCUUUCCUUAUUAGAAAGUGGAUUUGUACUUUUGAGCUCUGUAUGUG